GGUUCCGUGGUCUAGUUGGUUAUGAUUUCUCGCUAACACCGAGAAGGUCCCCGGUUCGAGCCCGGGCGGAACCA
RNAcentral lists this transfer RNA (74 nucleotides) under Conoideocrella luteorostrata. RNAcentral's name for it is "tRNA-Val". Lineage: Eukaryota; Fungi; Ascomycota; Sordariomycetes; Hypocreales; Clavicipitaceae. The record is from RNAcentral.